AUGUCGCCUGCUCUACUGCUCCAUGGUUCUGAGCUCCCAUCACCAUCACCUCCUUCCGCUUUUUGUUGCCUUCUCCCCCAAGCUCGGCAGAGGGGCGCCAGAACUCAAGAUUAUCGCUUCAAGAUCUCCCGAUUUGGAUUUGGGGUGAAGUACUCUGGAUUUCUGCAUUUAGACCAGUGCCCCGUGCACGCGAAGUAA
This 198-nucleotide ribosomal RNA is filed under the name Triticum aestivum (bread wheat). RNAcentral's name for it is "partial small subunit ribosomal RNA". The record is from RNAcentral. Lineage: Eukaryota; Viridiplantae; Streptophyta; Magnoliopsida; Poales; Poaceae.